Molecule: ribosomal RNA, 909 nt
Filed under: Triticum aestivum (bread wheat)
Lineage: Eukaryota; Viridiplantae; Streptophyta; Magnoliopsida; Poales; Poaceae
Description: partial small subunit ribosomal RNA
Source: RNAcentral
AUGUCCCAUCCCUCCGGUCUCACGCCACCGCUAGCUGAAUCCCCCUCGGGAUCUCCGCUGCCCGAUCCACCCAAUCAACCUCCACCUCUCCUCCCGAGCCACCCCUCCCGUCCAUCACCGUCGGAGCAGCAGCUCCCAUGCCUGCGCCUCGACAGCCCCGUCGUCGGCCAAUCCAACCAGCAGAUGAGUGCCCCGAGAGCCUUGCUCCCUUUUCCCUCCUGCUUCUGUUUCUCUCUCUCUCACGCUGCUCUCGCUCUCUCUGUUGUCUUCGCAGCGCCUCCAUGGACAGCCUCCUCGGUUGACUUCGUGUGCCGCCCCGUUGGACCUCCAGCUUCAGUCCCUCGUCGCCCACGCCCUCGCCUUGCUCCGCCCUUGCCGUCGUCCCGCAGGCGAGCAGCUCCAGUAGGAACACCAGGAGGCCAUGGGCGCUACCCCUUCCGAGCUCGACGACCUCUACCCUGUAGACCUCCCCGCCGUUUCCAGCGUUGCCUACUCCUGCUGGCGACCAGCAGGCAACAGUUGCAGCCAUGGCCUUGUAGCUCGUUCCCCCCCAGCUCGGAGAUCCGAUCCGCACCUCCCCUAGCCGGAUCUGGAACCAGGCGCCUCCCCGCGCCCAUCCCGUUGUUCCCCGCCGCCGUCCGCCACCUGCAGUCCCCAUCUCGUCGAUCCUGGGAUCAAGCAGCACCGCCUCGCCCUGCUUACUGUCCCGCCCGCGCCAAGGACAGAGCCCAGCCUCUCCUUCCCCUGCUUCGUGCGCAGUUCGGGAUCGAGCGACGACCGCCUCGCCCCUUCGUUGACCGCGCCUGCAGCGCCUGGGCCAGCAGCCUCCAAGGCCCAGCGCCCCUGCCUGGCCUUCUCCCCACCGAGCCGGCCCAUGAGGCCUGCUUCGGUUUCGUUCCGGAGUUGUGA